UGUGGGAGCUGGCUUGCCUGCGAAAGCGGUGUGUCAGCUUGUACAUUUGUCACUGAUAAACAGCUAUCGCAGGCAAGCCAGCUCCCACA
RNAcentral lists this non-coding RNA (89 nucleotides) under Pseudomonas tolaasii NCPPB 2192. The record is from RNAcentral. Lineage: Bacteria; Pseudomonadati; Pseudomonadota; Gammaproteobacteria; Pseudomonadales; Pseudomonadaceae.